Molecule: non-coding RNA, 46 nt
Filed under: unclassified sequences
Description: SAM-SAH-Weickhmann-2018 RNA
Rfam family: SAM/SAH riboswitch aptamer
Source: RNAcentral
CUGUCACAACGGCUUCCUGGCGUGGCAGGCAAACCCCAAUGGAGCA